UCCGGUUUGACACCGGCAGUCUCCCUAGAGUGCCCGGCAUAACCCGCUGGUAACUAGGGACGAGGGUUGCGCUCGUUGCGGGACUUAACCCAACAUGUCACCACACGAGCUGACGACAGCCAUGCAGCACCUGUCACUCUGCUGUAUUGCUACAGAAACCGGAUCUCUCCGGCGGUCAGAGGAUGUCAAACCCAGGUAAGGUUCUUCGCGUUGCUUCGAAUUAAACCACAUGAUCCACCGCUUGUGCGGGCCCCCGUCAAUUCCUUUGAGUUUUAGUCUUGCGACCGUACUUCCCAGGCGGGGUACUUAGUGCGUUAGCGCCGAUUCGGCGGGGGUCAAGACCCACCAAAUCUAGUACCCAUCGUUUACGGCGUGGACUAC
Molecule: unclassified non-coding RNA, 381 nt
Filed under: uncultured Pseudomonadota bacterium
Lineage: Bacteria; Pseudomonadati; Pseudomonadota
Description: uncultured proteobacterium contains 16S-23S intergenic spacer region
Source: RNAcentral